UCCAACAGAUGUCUCCCACAGAAAGAGGCAUGAGGGUACACAGCUUGGCUGGUCUGCCUUAUGUCCUGCUGCUGAGGAUGUCUAUUCUCAUUGCAGCUUCUGCUGACUCCAGAACCCAGGUUCUUCAGCCUUUGAUGGCGGACUGAUUGUGGAGAGGCCCAUGGCUCUCUCCAGGAUUCUCCACAUUUUUGGGGACAGAUCUGGACUGCUGGGGCAUCCAGCCUCACAGGCUGAGCAGAUGCUAUCGUCUCAGCUUCUCUUAGCAUAGAGACAGACUUCGAUGGUCUAUCUACUAGGACCCUAUUUUCCACACUGAUCUAUAGAUCCCCUUUAGUGAUGUCUAACCAUCAUGUUGAUACUGUUCCUCUUGAGAACCCUUCCUAAUAUAAACACUUCUUUAAUUUUUAAUGUGUAGAGAUCAUUACGCAUUCACCAGGGCAGCUGGAUCAUGUACAUUUUCUAUGUCCCAAUGUUGCAUUGAUACUAAAUUGAUUGCAUUUGACAUAAUGUUGGGCUUAGAUAGAAGAUAGAAAACACAUGUUGCAGUCUGUGGGGACGAAAUGCCAUGGCCUUUGUUCUUGUUUGCUUUCUCUUGCCAUGAUAAACACCAUGACUUGGGAGAGGAAAGGACUUUAGUCCAUCAUGGAGGUUAGCCACAACAGGAACCUGAGGCAGGAGCUUGAAGCAGAAACCACAAAGAAACACUGAUUAGUGGCUUGCUCCCAAGUUCAAGUUCAGCUAGCUUCCUUAUACAACCCUGGCACACAUUCCCAAGAAUGGUACUGUGGUCCUCUAUCCAUUAGCAAUCAAAACUAAUCCCUUGUGACAUGUUCGCAGGCCAGUCUGCUUCAGGAAAUCCCCCAACUUAGAUUCUCGGAUAACUCGGGGCUCUGUCAAGUUAACAGCUGAAGCCAACUGGGAGGGUAGUUGAACAUGUUUGUGUAUGGUGAAGCAAGAACCACAAGGGAUUAACACAGACAUCAGGGAAGGACAUAAGAUUCAUUGUACCAUUUUUGCAGUGAGGGAGCAAGUUAAAAUCCAAGAUAUAAAUUCAUAGAAAGAGUAAUGUGCAGUAAUUGUUGCCCUUGCGUGUGUAUAUUAAUAUGUGUGUGAAGAUGUGUUCGUGUAUAUGUUGAGGCUAGAAGUCAAUAUAUUCCUCAAUGACCCUCCACUGUAUUUUUUGAGACAAGGUCUUUUAAGGACCGUGGAGUUCACUGUCCAGCUAGACUGAGAGCGAGCCCCAGAGGUCUGCUUACCUCCACUUCUGUGGGUCUGGAAUACAGGUGUGUACCACCAUGUUCAACUUUCAUUUACGUCAGUCAUAACUAUCAUCUAGUGUUGAAAGUUAAACCAGGAACGUUUGAGGAAUUUAAGCAAUGAAGUUAAGAAAGAUGCCAUAAAAUGUGCUCCUUGCAGUUUAGAUGCUAUUGAUUGUUAUACUGCAAUCGCUACCGACUUGCUUGCCUCGGAGGGCAAUGCUUAGAAAACUUCAAGCCUUUACAGAAUGCUACAUCAGAGCAUGGCCAGAGGUGAACUUUCAGGACCCUGCCAUGCUCAUUUCCUCAUGCCCCGAGGAAGAAGAUUUAGAAUAUUGUCACCUUACUUAAUGUCUUUUAAAAUGAAAGUUUCUUGUUGUAAACUUACAUUUGUCAUGUGAUUUCAAA
This is a non-coding RNA of Myodes glareolus (Bank vole), 1664 nucleotides long. The record is from RefSeq and is a predicted model, not a curated record. Lineage: Eukaryota; Metazoa; Chordata; Mammalia; Rodentia; Cricetidae.